GGACGUUUCGUCCCCGAGGGUAUCACCAGCCCAGUAGUCAACACUUCGGUGCUGACAUGAAUAUCAACAAUGUGGUCAUUUUUAUAAAUUUUCUGUUUACAAAACUUUGAAUUUUUCGAAAAACUAAGGAUUUUCUUAUCCCAGGCAUAGAUUACCUUAGCCGUAUUUGGCACAACUUUUUGGAAUUUUGGAUCCUCAAUGCUCUUCAACUUUGUACUUGUUUGGCUUUAUAAAUAUUUUGAUAAGAGCGUCACUGAUGAGUCUUAUGUAGACGAAACGCGCGUCUGG
This 288-nucleotide long non-coding RNA is filed under the name Mytilus galloprovincialis (Mediterranean mussel). The record is from RNAcentral. Lineage: Eukaryota; Metazoa; Mollusca; Bivalvia; Mytilida; Mytilidae.